This 270-nucleotide ribosomal RNA is filed under the name uncultured archaeon. Its description in RNAcentral is "partial 16S ribosomal RNA". It matches the Rfam family "Archaeal small subunit ribosomal RNA", at positions 477 to 747 of the family's 1478-position model. The record is from RNAcentral.
CAGCACCUCAAGUGGUCAGGAUGAUUAUUGGGCCUAAAGCAUCCGUAGCCUGCUUUGUUAGUUUUCGGUUAAAUCCAUACGCUCAACGCAUGGGCUGCCGGGAAUACUGCAAAGCUAGGGAGUGGGAGAGGUAGACGGUACUCGGUAGGAAGGGGUAAAAUCCUUUGAUCUAUUGAUGACCACCUGUGGCGAAGGCGGUCUACCAGAACACGUCCGACGGUGAGGGAUGAAAGCUGGGGGAGCAAACCGGAUUAGAUACCCGAGUAGUCC